This is a long non-coding RNA of Triticum urartu, 814 nucleotides long. RefSeq lists it as uncharacterized. Lineage: Eukaryota; Viridiplantae; Streptophyta; Magnoliopsida; Poales; Poaceae. The record is from RefSeq and is a predicted model, not a curated record.
UGGAGGCCCCGCCGAUCCCCUGUUGGAUCUCUUUCCACCAGUAUCCGGCUACCUCCCCCUCGAUCUGGUCUCCCGUCCACAACGCCUUUGUUGACCGGCGAGAAGGAGCUAGCCACUGGAUCCACUGAUCUCAAGGGGCAUCACGCCGUGCUGCAGCUCCACAUCCCUGCGUGUGCAGUGCACAAUCGUUGCUGCUGCAUCUCGGCAGCUCGCCCCGUGCAUGGUCGCCACCGGCGUGUAGUUCGGCUAGAGCUGCAGCUCUCUCUCCUCACAUCAUGCAGUUCACGGUGAAUGACGAAGACGAUGGCAGCGAGAGCGACGAGUGAAGGGGUACGCCAAGCAGCAAUUGGGGGAGGGGGUCUCUGGAACGUCGUCGUUGCUGCUCAUCUGUAAUGCCACCGAUCCUUGAUGGAUGUUAUGUACCUCCCUCUCUUUCAGGCUGCUGCCAUCACCGCAGCAACCCAGGAUCCCAUCCUCUAUUCUCUUCCGCACAGAGUGCAAAUGCAGUCCGCUGUGGUUUUCUCCUAACGUUCAUUUGAUCUUUUUUGCAGGAAAGAUAAGUGGCGAAGUUCCGUUGGAUGCCCCCAUUACCCAAUUUUUUUUGUUCAAAACUGAAGUUCAUUGUUGAAAAUUGUUGACAAAUAUUGAGUUGUGCAAUUCAUUGUAAAACCGCAUUCUCUUGGUUUUGGUUUUUUGUUGUGUUUUGUGCGGUGUAUUUAGCUGCUAGUGGUGCCGUCUAAUGGGGCCAAUUUUUGUCAACGGAAAGCAUGCAAGUGACGACAUCCAAGUGUGUAGGUUGAAUAUAGUUCACUCA